This 303-nucleotide ribosomal RNA is filed under the name uncultured bacterium. RNAcentral's name for it is "partial 16S ribosomal RNA". It matches the Rfam family "Bacterial small subunit ribosomal RNA", at positions 507 to 807 of the family's 1533-position model. The record is from RNAcentral.
AGCAGUAGCCGCGGUAAUACGUAGGGUGCAAGCGUUAAUCGGAAUUACUGGGCGUAAUGCGUGCGCAGGCGGUUCGUUAAGACAGAUGUGAAAUCCCCGGGCUUAACCUGGGAACUGCAUUUGUGACUGGCGGGCUAGAGUAUGGCAGAGGGGGGUAGAAUUCCACGUGUAGCAGUGAAAUGCGUAGAGAUGUGGAGGAAUACCGAUGGCGAAGGCAGCCCCCUGGGCCAAUACUGACGCUCAUGCACGAAAGCGUGGGGAGCAAACAGGAUUAGAUACCCGCGUAGUCCCUGUCUCUUAUAC